Molecule: small RNA, 651 nt
Filed under: Drosophila virilis
Lineage: Eukaryota; Metazoa; Arthropoda; Insecta; Diptera; Drosophilidae
Description: GJ26756
Source: RNAcentral
UACAAAAAAAAAUAAAUAUAUAUAUAUAUAUCAAAGAAUGGGUGCCCAAUGCUGCAAAUGUUGCUGCUGUUGUUAUCAAGGCGUACCGCAGCCUCCGCGGAAAAAGAAAUGCGAAGUUAAAAUCCAGCCCGCAAAAGGGGACUAUUGCCGUAGACCCGAUGCCCCACCUCAGCCCAGCACCCUGGAACGGCCCAAUGUCCGUUGCCAGUGCCUGCCCAAGAACUAAAACAAACAAUUGGAAUGUUAUGUGCGGCGAAUUUCGAUCUGUCUGCACAAUAUGUAAGCAAAAUGUGUGGCACAAAAUCAACUUUUACCCACAGCUGAUGUUUGCGUUUACUCGUAUUUUAUUGCCACGUAAGUAGCACGAUCAUAAAUCAGAGGCAACAUCUGCACAGACGGAAGUGUCUGGGGUGAAGAGUGGGGGGGGAGGGCAGCCGGACUGUGGGUUGGGGGCAGCCAGCGGUUUAUGAAGCAGCUAUGAAAACGAAAAGAAAAAGAACGGCUUGAUGAUGUCAAUAUUAUUGUUGUUAUGCAAAAACCCUACAAAUGUUACUCAUGGACUCAGCACCGCAAAAUGACUCAAGAAGAAGACAUUUUAAGACAGAAUUGGAUUACUAUGAACUAUUUAUUAAUGUCAAGGCCAAAGGUAAA